Molecule: ribosomal RNA, 1540 nt
Filed under: Staphylococcus aureus W85326
Lineage: Bacteria; Bacillati; Bacillota; Bacilli; Caryophanales; Staphylococcaceae
Description: 16S ribosomal RNA
Rfam family: Bacterial small subunit ribosomal RNA
Source: RNAcentral
AGAGUUUGAUCCUGGCUCAGGAUGAACGCUGGCGGCGUGCCUAAUACAUGCAAGUCGAGCGAACGGACGAGAAGCUUGCUUUUCUGAUGUUAGCGGCGGACGGGUGAGUAACACGUGGAUAACCUACCUAUAAGACUGGGAUAACUUCGGGAAACCGGAGCUAAUACCGGAUAAUAUUUUGAACCGCAUGGUUCAAAAGUGAAAGACGGUCUUGCUGUCACUUAUAGAUGGAUCCGCGCUGCAUUAGCUAGUUGGCAAGGUAACGGCUUACCAAGGCAACGAUGCAUAGCCGACCUGAGAGGGUGAUCGGCCACACUGGAACUGAGACACGGUCCAGACUCCUACGGGAGGCAGCAGUAGGGAAUCUUCCGCAAUGGGCGAAAGCCUGACGGAGCAACGCCGCGUGAGUGAUGAAGGUCUUCGGAUCGUAAAACUCUGUUAUUAGGGAAGAACAUAUGUGUAAGUAACUGUGCACAUCUUGACGGUACCUAAUCAGAAAGCCACGGCUAACUACGUGCCAGCAGCCGCGGUAAUACGUAGGUGGCAAGCGUUAUCCGGAAUUAUUGGGCGUAAAGCGCGCGUAGGCGGUUUUUUAAGUCUGAUGUGAAAGCCCACGGCUCAACCGUGGAGGGUCAUUGGAAACUGGAAAACUUGAGUGCAGAAGAGGAAAGUGGAAUUCCAUGUGUAGCGGUGAAAUGCGCAGAGAUAUGGAGGAACACCAGUGGCGAAGGCGACUUUCUGGUCUGUAACUGACGCUGAUGUGCGAAAGCGUGGGGAUCAAACAGGAUUAGAUACCCUGGUAGUCCACGCCGUAAACGAUGAGUGCUAAGUGUUAGGGGGUUUCCGCCCCUUAGUGCUGCAGCUAACGCAUUAAGCACUCCGCCUGGGGAGUACGACCGCAAGGUUGAAACUCAAAGGAAUUGACGGGGACCCGCACAAGCGGUGGAGCAUGUGGUUUAAUUCGAAGCAACGCGAAGAACCUUACCAAAUCUUGACAUCCUUUGACAACUCUAGAGAUAGAGCCUUCCCCUUCGGGGGACAAAGUGACAGGUGGUGCAUGGUUGUCGUCAGCUCGUGUCGUGAGAUGUUGGGUUAAGUCCCGCAACGAGCGCAACCCUUAAGCUUAGUUGCCAUCAUUAAGUUGGGCACUCUAAGUUGACUGCCGGUGACAAACCGGAGGAAGGUGGGGAUGACGUCAAAUCAUCAUGCCCCUUAUGAUUUGGGCUACACACGUGCUACAAUGGACAAUACAAAGGGCAGCGAAACCGCGAGGUCAAGCAAAUCCCAUAAAGUUGUUCUCAGUUCGGAUUGUAGUCUGCAACUCGACUACAUGAAGCUGGAAUCGCUAGUAAUCGUAGAUCAGCAUGCUACGGUGAAUACGUUCCCGGGUCUUGUACACACCGCCCGUCACACCACGAGAGUUUGUAACACCCGAAGCCGGUGGAGUAACCUUUUAGGAGCUAGCCGUCGAAGGUGGGACAAAUGAUUGGGGUGAAGUCGUAACAAGGUAGCCGUAUCGGAAGGUGCGGCUGGAUCACCU